Molecule: long non-coding RNA, 307 nt
Filed under: Gossypium raimondii (Peruvian cotton)
Lineage: Eukaryota; Viridiplantae; Streptophyta; Magnoliopsida; Malvales; Malvaceae
Description: long non-coding RNA (GRAI_LNC006419)
Source: RNAcentral
AAUCCCCUUGUGUCGUCCACCACACUUGCCUUGUGGGCAAGGAUUCCUUUCCUUUUUUUUUCUAGUCAACUUACCUUACCUAACUCCCUUUUCACUCCCAUGAUCCACUUUUUAUGGCUUUGUCCCCCUAUUGCCUUUUUUCCUUCCCAUGCACCUAGACACACUUUUAUUUUUAUUUUUUCUCAUCCUUUCCCACAUUCUCUCCCUUCAGCUGCCCUCCUUCUUGUUCCUCCCUUUUCUUCUAUUUUCUUCUAUUUUCACCACCCAUUUUCUUCAUUUCUUCUCCAUUCCACCACCUCUAAAGGCC